UACGUAGGGUGCGAGCGUUAAUCGGAAUUACUGGGCGUAAAGCGUGCGCAGGCGGUUCGUUGUGUCGGCGGUGAAAGCCCCGGGCUUAACCUGGGAAUGGCCGUUGAAACUGGCGAACUGGAGUGUGGCAGAGGGGGUGGAAUUCCGCGUGGUAGCAGUGAAAUGCGUAGAGAUGCGGAGGAACACCGAUGGCGAAGGCAGCCCCUGGGCUAACACUGACGCUCAGGCACGAAAGCGUGGGGAGCAAACAGG
This 252-nucleotide ribosomal RNA is filed under the name uncultured bacterium. Its description in RNAcentral is "partial 16S ribosomal RNA". It matches the Rfam family "Bacterial small subunit ribosomal RNA", at positions 524 to 776 of the family's 1533-position model. The record is from RNAcentral.